GCGAGCGUGGCGAAAUUGGCAGACGCGCCGGACUUAGGAUCCGGUGGGCAACCGUGCAGGUUCAAGUCCUGUCGCUCGCACCA
This 83-nucleotide transfer RNA is filed under the name Clostridiales bacterium. RNAcentral describes it as "tRNA-Leu". It matches the Rfam family "tRNA". Rfam says of the family: Transfer RNA (tRNA) molecules are approximately 80 nucleotides in length. Their secondary structure includes four short double-helical elements and three loops (D, anti-codon, and T loops). Lineage: Bacteria; Bacillati; Bacillota; Clostridia; Eubacteriales. RNAcentral also lists the same sequence under 1 other name. The record is from RNAcentral.